RNAcentral lists this ribosomal RNA (1373 nucleotides) under uncultured bacterium. RNAcentral's name for it is "bacterial SSU rRNA". It matches the Rfam family "Bacterial small subunit ribosomal RNA", at positions 28 to 1381 of the family's 1533-position model. The record is from RNAcentral.
GAUGAACGCUGGCGGCGUGCCUAAUACAUGCAGGUCGAGCGAACGGACGAGAAGCUUGCUUCUCUGAUGUUAGCGGCGGACGGGUGAGUAACACGUGGAUAACCUACCUAUAAGACUGGGAUAACUUCGGGAAACCGGAGCUAAUACCGGAUGAUAUUUUGAACCGCAUGGUUCAAAAGUGAAAGACGGUCUUGCUGUCACUUAUAGAUGGAUCCGCGCUGCAUUAGCUAGUUGGUAAGGUAACGGCUUACCAAGGCAACGAUGCAUAGCCGACCUGAGAGGGUGAUCGGCCACACUGGAACUGAGACACGGUCCAGACUCCUACGGGAGGCAGCAGUAGGGAAUCUUCCGCAAUGGGCGAAAGCCUGACGGAGCAACGCCGCGUGAGUGAUGAAGGUCUUCGGAUCGUAAAACUCUGUUAUUAGGGAAGAACAUAUGUGUAAGUAACUGUGCACAUCUUGACGGUACCUAAUCAGAAAGCCACGGCUAACUACGUGCCAGCAGCCGCGGUAAUACGUAGGUGGCAAGCGUUAUCCGGAAUUAUUGGGCGUAAAGCGCGCGUAGGCCGGUUUUUUAAGUCUGAUGUGAAAGCCCACGGCUCAACCGUGGAGGGUCAUUGGAAACUGGAAAACUUGAGUGCAGAAGAGGAAAGUGGAAUUCCAUGUGUAGCGGUGAAAUGCGCAGAGAUAUGGAGGAACACCAGUGGCGAAGGCGACUUUCUGGUCUGUAACUGACGCUGAUGUGCGAAAGCGUGGGGAUCAAACAGGAUUAGAUACCCUGGUAGUCCACGCCGUAAACGAUGAGUGCUAAGUGUUAGGGGGUUUCCGCCCCUUAGUGCUGCAGCUAACGCAUUAAGCACUCCGCCUGGGGAGUACGACCGCAAGGUUGAAACUCAAAGGAAUUGACGGGGACCCGCACAAGCGGUGGAGUAUGUGGUUUAAUUCGAAGCAACGCGAAGAACCUUACCAAAUCUUGACAUCCUUUGACAACUCUAGAGAUAGAGCCUUCCCCUUCGGGGGACAAAGUGACAGGUGGUGCAUGGUUGUCGUCAGCUCGUGUCGUGAGAUGUUGGGUUAAGUCCCGCAACGAGCGCAACCCUUAAGCUUAGUUGCCAUCAUUAAGUUGGGCACUCUAAGUUGACUGCCGGUGACAAACCGGAGGAAGGUGGGGAUGACGUCAAAUCAUCAUGCCCCUUAUGAUUUGGGCUACACACGUGCUACAAUGGACAAUACAAAGGGCAGCGAAACCGCGAGGUCAAGCAAAUCCCAUAAAGUUGUUCUCAGUUCGGAUUGUAGUCUGCAACUCGACUACAUGAAGCUGGAAUCGCUAGUAAUCGUAGAUCAGCAUGCUACGGUGAAUACGUUCCCGGGUCU